AACGAACGCUGGCGGCAUGCCUAACACAUGCAAGUCGAACGAGACCGUCGGGUCUAGGGGCGCACGGGUGCGUAACGCGUGGGAACCUGCCCGUAGGUUCGGAAUAACUCCCCGAAAGGGGUGCUAAGACCGGAGAAGGUCUUCGGACCAAAGAUUUAUCGCCUUUGGAUGGGCCCGCGUUGGAUUAGCUAGUUGGUAGGGUAAAAGCCUACCAAGGCGACGAUCCAUAGCUGGUCUGAGAGGAUGAUCAGCUACACUGGGACUGAGACACGGCCCAGACGCCUACGGGAGGCAGCAGUGGGGAAUAUUGGACACUGGGCGAAAGCCUGAUCCCGCAAUGCCGCGUGAGUGAUGAAGGCCUUAGGGUUGUACAGCUCUUUUACCCGGGAUGAUAAUGACAGUACCGGGAGAAUAAGCUCCGGCUAACUCCGUG
This 433-nucleotide ribosomal RNA is filed under the name uncultured bacterium. RNAcentral describes it as "partial 16S ribosomal RNA". It matches the Rfam family "Bacterial small subunit ribosomal RNA", at positions 29 to 507 of the family's 1533-position model. The record is from RNAcentral.